AUCGCCAGUAAGCAGCAUUUAUUCAUUUUCAUUUUUUGCAAAAAAAGAAGAAAAAAAACUAACAAUUUUAAAGUGCAGUAAACAUAAGAACAAAGUGAUAAUUUUUGUAGGUGCACUAUGCUAUAGUUCGUUAGGUUCAGAAGCUAGUGUAAGUGUUUUAAUUAUCUCACCUCCGGAAACACCGAAUUGAACACAGACCGACUAAACACGAAUGCUCCCUCAAAUGCCUUUACUUUUGGAAGAUGUCCAAAUUAUUUGUCAUGCCCAAAUUUCUGCUGAUCUCAGCUUUGGAAGACUGUCAAAAUUGAAG
Molecule: small RNA, 310 nt
Filed under: Drosophila virilis
Lineage: Eukaryota; Metazoa; Arthropoda; Insecta; Diptera; Drosophilidae
Description: GJ25766
Source: RNAcentral